This 391-nucleotide ribosomal RNA is filed under the name Chrysophyceae sp. Its description in RNAcentral is "partial small subunit ribosomal RNA". It matches the Rfam family "Eukaryotic small subunit ribosomal RNA", at positions 582 to 975 of the family's 1831-position model. Lineage: Eukaryota; Chrysophyceae. The record is from RNAcentral.
AUUCCAGCUCCAAUAGCGUAUACUAAAGUUGUUGCAGUUAAAAAGCUCGUAGUUGAAUUUCUGGUCGUGGCGAUCGGUCCGCCCCUCACGGGGUGUGCACCUGGUCUCUACGUCCAUCCUCGGGGAGAGCAUGCCUGGCAUUUAGUUGUCGGGUGUGGGAUCCUCGUCAUUUACUGUGAGCAAAAUAGAGUGUUCAAAGCAGGCUUAGGCCGUUGAAUACAUUAGCAUGGAAUAAUAAGAUAGGACCUUGGUCUAUUUUGUUGGUUUGCAUUCCAAGGUAAUGAUUAAUAGGGAUAGUUGGGGGUAUUCGUAUUCAAUUGUCAGAGGUGAAAUUCUUGGAUUUAUGGAAGACGAACUACUGCGAAAGCAUUUACCAAGGAUGUUUUCAUCA